Molecule: long non-coding RNA, 2171 nt
Filed under: Mytilus galloprovincialis (Mediterranean mussel)
Lineage: Eukaryota; Metazoa; Mollusca; Bivalvia; Mytilida; Mytilidae
Source: RNAcentral
UUGAUGGACACUUAAAUUCGUGGAAAGAGUCAUCCACGAAAACCUUGAAAAUUGUUACCCCACGAAUAAAAGUACUUUCACAGUAAUCAUGUUAAAAAGUUUUACAGUUAGGACUUUUUUAUUCAAAUCUAUGUAGGUGGGGAGAAGGGUUGUUCAAUCAAAAGCUUUGUAGUGGGGAGCAAGGGCUAUUCAACUAAAAGCAAUGAAGUGGAGAGGAAGGACUUUUCAAUUAAAAGUGAUGUUAUGGGAAGCUAUAACUGUGGAUUCAUUUAUUUUCGUGGGUAUCAAUUUUCGUGGAUUGAGGAAAACCAGCAUUUUCGUGGGUAUUUGAUUUCGUGGUUUUGUCAAUCUCUGCAUAUAAAGCCUACAGAAAAAGUGUAUUUCGUUGAACAUGUUGAACAUUUGAAUUCGUGGUUCCCCUGUACCCACGAAAACCACGAAAAACUGGUAUCCAACGAAUAAUAAUGAAUCCACAGUAUAUUAAAACAAUGCAAUGGUGAGGAAGGGCUAUUCCAUUUUAAGAAAUGUAGUAGGAAUAAAUGACUAUUCCAUUAAAAGCAAUGUAGUGACCAGGAAGUGCUAUUUCAUUAAUAGCAAUGUAGUGGGGAGCAAGGACUAGUCCAUUAAAAGCAAUGUAGUGAACAGGAAGUGCUAUUUCAUUAAUAGCAAUGUAGUGGGGAGCAAUGACUAUUCCAUUAAAAUUGAUGUAGGUGUGAAGUAAGAGACGUUUUCUACUUUUACCUGUAUUACGGACCAUUUUAUAAAUGUUUAUCACUUAAUGUGAGCAAAAAUACUUUAAGAAAUUAUGUUGGAUGUUGAAAGACUUUGAAAAUCUCUUCAUGUCUUUGCAAAUCCAUUUUAAUAAGACAUGUCUUUAUGCCUCAUAUGCUUAAAUAUCCCUAAGGAAAUUUUGAAAGUUGGAAAAAGGUAUGAAUUAUGUCAUGGGACCAAGAUCUCAUUUUCAAUUGUUUAGUUUAGUUUACAGAUGAAGGUAUAUUCAUUAUUUAUCAUGCAUGAGAGUUCAUCAAUAUUUCAGAGGUUAGUUUGUUGGAAGAAGUCAGACUUAUGCUAUACUGUAUAUGUCUGACCUCAAUUCAAUUUCAUGCUUGAAUGGUACUUGUAUGUUGCUUUUUGCAGGGCAUAAUUAAUUUCUGUCCCUAUCGAACACAUCCUCAUUUUCAGUUGCAUUGGAAAUUCCUGCUUAUCAUUAAUGUUGAUAUACUCUGCAAAAACUUUAUAUUAUAAAUACGUUCUCAUCCUAAUUAUAUAUAAAUAGCCCUGAAAUAUUUGUCACUGUGUUGAGCAACUAGUAAUCAAUCAAUCACCUCAAAUGUCCAAGUUUUUAAAGUUUUUAUUUGUCUAAAAAUAAGGAGAUUAUAAGUUAUAUGGUUCUCUACUGGCCCCUACGGAUCCAUAGAGGGUUAGUAAAAUCCAUAGAGGGUGAGGCCGCAAUAGAUUUUAUUCACCGUCUAUGGAUCCGUAGGGGGGUUAGUAGUUAACCGUAUAACGAAUUUAUCGCACGCUGGACUUUUUCUGCUGCGUUUUGUUGAAAAAUAAACAAUGUGACGUCAUGAGCCCCCCAUAAAAUUUACUAACCCCCUACGGUCUCAUAGGGGGUCGCCAUGUGACAGCGUUUAACCAAUCACAACGUGAUAAUUUACUAGCGGUGCGAUAAGUAGUAUAAUUAUCAAUGAGACAAUUGUUAACCAACGUUCAAAUGAGGUCAAUGUAAGCAAGCAUAGCAAUAGGCAACCAUACAGCCUUCAACAAUGAGAAAAACCCUUAUAGGCAACCAUACAGCCUACAACAAUGAGAAAAACCCUUAUGACAAACCAACUACAACCACUAAGGUACAGUCUCCUUGGUCUGUUGCUAUGAAACUGUGUGUGAUAGACAUACAUCAUAUGGUGUAAGAAUUCCUACAAGAUUACAUGAACACUUUGAUCUUUACCCCCAGUUUUUAGAAAUUUUUGACCUUUUGUUAAGUAUUUAAGUAUUACAACCUAGUGUUCCCAUUUGGUUAUGAUUUGUUGUAUAUUAUUCCAUUUGUUUAUGUUUUAUUGUAUAUUUUGCUAUUUGUUUUUGGUUUCAUUGUUUAUUUUGUUGUUAUAAAAUCUUCUACAUGAAUAAGAAAUAAAACCAUUUUUUUUUGUAUGAAGUGGACUGGAAAG